GUUCUGGAAGCUGAUCCUCCAGGCCCUGGCAGGCCAUCAGGAGCCAAUAGCCCUCUGGGAGGCUGAGCCACAGCGACUCCUAGACCACCCCUGGACUCCUGGCCCUCAGAAACUACGGGAUAGUUUGGGGUUAAUUCAUUAUGCAGCAACAGUAAAGAGGCUCCGACAAUGCACUGGGGCAGGGGUCACAAAGGACUCCCUGGAGACGGUGACAGGGCUGUGAUUUGCUCUCCCCACGACAUUACAGCAAAUGUCCCUCCCUGUAUUGCUUCUCCAACCCCCUCAAAACACCUUCUCCUUUCAAUCUCGUCCCUCUACACCUUCUUGUCCUCAUCCUUCUUCUCCUCCCCAUUCUCUCUCUCUCUCUGUCUCCCCUUUUCUCUUCCCAAUCAGAGAGCAAUGGGAAGAGUUGUGUAAACUACUCUGGAUCUUCCAACUAAAAGGAUGGAUCCACAGCUCUAAACAUCUUUGGCCAAGAAGAAAACUUGCUGACAGAGCCAGGCUGAGUAGCUGAAAACACAGAAGUAAAGCUUAUUUGUCUCACUCUUCACAAAGUUUGCAUUUUGACAUUUUGGUAAAAUUGCUUACAGAAUUGUCCAUUCUACUUAGAAUUCAUUUGGGCUCAACUGUUCACCAACUGGACCUCUCCAAGGGCUGCUUGAGUGUCCUCACAAAGCGGCAUCGGGAUUCACCUGGAAGAUUCUUUCUCUGAGAGAGCAACAGUUAUGAAAGACAGGAUGUAGUUUGUAGUUUAAGUAAUAAUUAGAUUUUAAAUUUAUUUAUUCCUGUUACACAAAUAAAGCAUUUUAGGGGGGGGGGGGUGGUGGCUAGGUGGCUCAGUUGGUUAGGUGUCUGCCUUCAGCUCAGGUCAUAAUCUCCAGGUCCAGGACCGAGCCCCACAUCGGGCUCCCUGCUCAGAGGGGAGCCUGCUUCUCCCUCUCCCUCGGCCUGCCACUCCCUCUGCUUGUGCGCUCUCUCUCUCUCUCUCUCUGUCAAGUAAAUAAAUAAAAUAUAUAUUUUUUUAAAAAGCAUUUUAAUUGCCUCUUCCUUUGGGCACAGGUGGAGGUGGAAGUUUCUCUCAGUAAUCAGACUUAUGAU
This 1098-nucleotide long non-coding RNA is filed under the name Canis lupus familiaris (dog). RNAcentral's name for it is "lncRNA (ENSCAFG00845021427.1)". Lineage: Eukaryota; Metazoa; Chordata; Mammalia; Carnivora; Canidae. The record is from RNAcentral.